Molecule: ribosomal RNA, 500 nt
Filed under: uncultured bacterium
Lineage: Bacteria
Description: partial 16S ribosomal RNA
Rfam family: Bacterial small subunit ribosomal RNA
Source: RNAcentral
AUUGAACGCUGGCGGAAUGCUUUACACAUGCAAGUCGAACGAUGAACCUUAGCUUGCUAAGGGGAUUAGUGGCGAACGGGUGAGUAACAUAUCGGAACGUACCUUGUAAUGGGGGAUAACUAGUCGAAAGAUUAGCUAAUACCGCAUACGCCCUGAGGGGGAAAGUAGGGGAUCUUCGGACCUUACGUUAUAAGAGCGGCCGAUAUCUGAUUAGCUAGUUGGUGGGGUAAUGGCCUACCAAGGCGACGAUCAGUAGCUGGUCUGAGAGGACGACCAGCCACACUGGAACUGAGACACGGUCCAGACUCCUACGGGAGGCAGCAGUGGGGAAUUUUGGACAAUGGGCGCAAGUCUGAUCCAGCCAUUCCGCGUGAGUGAAGAAGGCCUUCGGGUUGUAAAGCUCUUUCGCAAGGGAAGAAAACUUACAUUCUAAUAAAGUGUGAGGCUGACGGUACCUUGAUAAGAAGCACCGGCUAACUACGUGCCAGCAGCCGCGGUAA